RNAcentral lists this ribosomal RNA (870 nucleotides) under human gut metagenome. Its description in RNAcentral is "bacterial SSU rRNA". It matches the Rfam family "Bacterial small subunit ribosomal RNA", at positions 8 to 900 of the family's 1533-position model. The record is from RNAcentral.
AGAGUUCGAUCCUGGCUCAGGAUGAACGCUGGCGGCGCGCCUAACACAUGCAAGUCGAACGGCACCUAUCUUCGGAUAGAAGCGAGUGGCGAACGGCUGAGUAACACGUGGAGAACCUGCCCCCUCCCCCGGGAUAGCCGCCCGAAAGGACGGGUAAUACCGGAUACCCCGGGGUGCCGCAUGGCACCCCGGCUAAAGCCCCGACGGGAGGGGAUGGCUCCGCGGCCCAUCAGGUAGACGGCGGGGUGACGGCCCACCGUGCCGACAACGGGUAGCCGGGUUGAGAGACCGACCGGCCAGAUUGGGACUGAGACACGGCCCAGACUCCUACGGGAGGCAGCAGUGAGGGAUCUUGCGCAAUGGGGGGAACCCUGACGCAGCGACGCCGCGUGCGGGACGGAGGCCUUCGGGUCGUAAACCGCUUUCAGCAGGGAAGAGUCAAGACUGUACCUGCAGAAGAAGCCCCGGCUAACUACGUGCCAGCAGCCGCGGUAAUACGUAGGGGGCGAGCGUUAUCCGGAUUCAUUGGGCGUAAAGCGCGCGUAGGCGGCCCGGCAGGCCGGGGGUCGAAGCGGGGGGCUCAACCCCCCGAAGCCCCCGGAACCUCCGCGGCUUGGGUCCGGUAGGGGAGGGUGGAACACCCGGUGUAGCGGUGGAAUGCGCAGAUAUCGGGUGGAACACCGGUGGCGAAGGCGGCCCUCUGGGCCGAGACCGACGCUGAGGCGCGAAAGCUGGGGGAGCGAACAGGAUUAGAUACCCUGGUAGUCCCAGCCGUAAACGAUGGACGCUAGGUGUGGGGGGACGAUCCCCCCGUGCCGCAGCCAACGCAUUAAGCGUCCCGCCUGGGGAGUACGGCCGCAAGGCUAAAAC